This is a long non-coding RNA of Cephus cinctus (wheat stem sawfly), 1745 nucleotides long. RefSeq lists it as uncharacterized. The transcript is spliced from 4 exons. The record is from RefSeq and is a predicted model, not a curated record. NCBI's taxonomy places the organism in Eukaryota, Metazoa, Arthropoda, Insecta, Hymenoptera, Cephidae.
UACAUUACCGACACUGUAAUUAAAGAAAUAGAGUGCGCUAUUCUUCUCUGAUUGUGAGCGGGACUUAACUCUAUACAGGGCAGUUCUUCUUGUGAAAGAAUUCUACACGGUUAACUUGUGUAGAGUUAAUCCGUAACGAGUUGGGUCCCAGUAUUUUACUUUGCUCUUAGGCCUAUUCAAAUAUCUGUCUUCAUGGAUACUAUAUCCCGUACGUCGAAGUAUCCUUACAAUCCUAAAUUGUUUUUUACGCAAUCUUGUUGGCAGUGUCGUUGCCUAGAUAAAAUGUCGAGCCCACCAGUGACCAAAGGACUUUUCGGAAAAUUAACGAGACCCACUAAUCCCAUCCACCGAGGGACUUUUAUGGCAUAUCUACGUGACUUGGUCAUGGCAACCGUACUUUGGCAAUAUAGUGAGAGCCUUAGGGUUAAGUUAAUUUCUGUAGGAUAGCCUACGAUGGAAGAGGCAGCAUUUGCCCUGAAGGCUCAAAAUGACUAGGAGAGUUCAACCCAGGAAAUCGUGUCGCCUCCUUAUGCCUGCAAAGUCACGUUCUGAGUUUGGACGCGUGUUACUCUUCGUGAAGUGUUCAUCCCUCCUCGGAAUCGUAAUUCAUUUUUCUAUACUUAUAUGUGAUAUUCAAGCGUAGAUAAUUAAUCGAAAUUAGCUGAUAAACUAUCUACAUAAGUGCCUAGUUCGCGACACGUUGUAAAACGCAUUGGAGAUCGUUAUAUUUGAACCGAGUCAUUAUUUAAACUGUGUUAAUACCGGGUGAUUUAUGCCGCCCAGGCUUUAAGUGAUUUAUUCGUCAAAUCGUGUAAGAGGUCAAUUUAUUCUUUUCUUUCUUGUCUCUCUUUCUUUGAGGAAGCUAAAGGCACAUUCUUCCACUCUGAAUGUCGAUAUUCAUCAAAUCUCAACGACGAUUCAUUUACCGUAGGAGCUUCUUUAUCUUCUGGAGAUCAAAGGAGCUGAUGCUAUUCGCGUGUGUCCCAAAAUGUUUUGUGCAGAUCAUAACUUUUUAUACAAUUCUAUAUUUGAUUCUAUUUAUUCAGCGCGUGCUGUGUCAAAUACACAAGAGAGCAAUCUAAAGAAAAAAUCGAUACUGAUCGUUAGGCGGUAUCCUGAUACUGCUUCCUUCUCACAUCUCACGCAUUCAGAUACUCUUUCAUCACCAUCAUCCUUCGACGUACCUGAAACGUGUCGUGAUUGCUGAGAUCAAAGACGAGAACGUAAGCCGUAGCACUCCUGAGCCCAUAAUACCGGAAGUCGGUCCAUUCGAGAGACGAUCUGCAAGGACGACACUUGGGUAGAACGUCUCCCUCCUCUCCGUGGGUGUAUACUCUUCGGAAAAUUCGUUCCAGACAAAUUGCUGGUAUUGCAAGAUCAUCUUACCUGGAUGAUGCUAGAUUUGCCGACUCCUGGUGCUCCGAGAAAGACAACCUUCACACGAUCAAGACUGUCCGCAGGACUUUCUUCCUCCUUGGAGCCACUAUCAGCGUUUUCGCUACCGAUAGUCUCGCCUCCUCGUCUCUCCAAGUAGUCUAAGUCUAGUUCUAAAAAAAAGCAAGAAAAUUCCAAAUAAGAAUAACAGUACUCUCUAUAUCUUCUUAGGGCACUUGAUUUUCUCUUUGUUAUUCUUAUAUUAAGCUUCCAAGUUUCUUUAUACUUUCAAAGAUCAAUAGGCUUCGCCCUAAUGUCUAAUUUAGCGACCUGCGGUUUAUCAUGAAUAAAUAAAACCGACGGACAUAGCA